This 590-nucleotide ribosomal RNA is filed under the name Salmonella enterica. RNAcentral describes it as "partial 23S ribosomal RNA". It matches the Rfam family "Bacterial large subunit ribosomal RNA", at positions 2202 to 2791 of the family's 2925-position model. The record is from RNAcentral. Lineage: Bacteria; Pseudomonadati; Pseudomonadota; Gammaproteobacteria; Enterobacterales; Enterobacteriaceae. RNAcentral also lists the same sequence under 1 other name.
ACCCUUUAAUGUUUGAUGUUCUAACGUGGACCCGUAAUCCGGGUUGCGGACAGUGUCUGGUGGGUAGUUUGACUGGGGCGGUCUCCUCCUAAAGAGUAACGGAGGAGCACGAAGGUUGGCUAAUCCUGGUCGGACAUCAGGAGGUUAGUGCAAUGGCAUAAGCCAGCUUGACUGCGAGCGUGACGGCGCGAGCAGGUGCGAAAGCAGGUCAUAGUGAUCCGGUGGUUCUGAAUGGAAGGGCCAUCGCUCAACGGAUAAAAGGUACUCCGGGGAUAACAGGCUGAUACCGCCCAAGAGUUCAUAUCGACGGCGGUGUUUGGCACCUCGAUGUCGGCUCAUCACAUCCUGGGGCUGAAGUAGGUCCCAAGGGUAUGGCUGUUCGCCAUUUAAAGUGGUACGCGAGCUGGGUUUAGAACGUCGUGAGACAGUUCGGUCCCUAUCUGCCGUGGGCGCUGGAGAACUGAGGGGGGCUGCUCCUAGUACGAGAGGACCGGAGUGGACGCAUCACUGGUGUUCGGGUUGUCAUGCCAAUGGCACUGCCCGGUAGCUAAAUGCGGAAGAGAUAAGUGCUGAAAGCAUCUAAGCACGAA